UGUAUCACGACAGUGCAGGAACAAUCCUGACUGAGAGUGGCGAACAAGGGAGUAAUACACUAGAACGUGCCCAAUCGUGGGGGAUCACGGAGUGAAACUGUGAUUAUACCGCAUUCGAUUUACGGAUGAAAGCAGAGGGUCGCAAGACCUGGGCCAAUGGAGCGACCGUAGGUAGAUUAAGUAGGUGGUUGGGAAAAGGCUCCCCAAGCCUGGGGUUUGUAGUUGGUUUGGGAGGGAGACCACCCCCCCGGGGACUUGGACCCGGCCCAGACUCCUACGGGGGGCACCCGGUGGGGAUUAUUGGCAAAUGGGGCAAGCCAUGUUCAGCCAUGCCGGGUGCAGGAAGAAAGCUUUUGGGUUGUAAAAAGCUUUUAAGCGGAGCGAAACAGCCUUUUAUUAUAAAGAUGGAUAAUAAGUUACCCGUCGAAUAACCCCGGCUAAAUUACUUGCAGAGGGGGCGUUAUAGAGAGGGCCAAGGGUUAUUCGGAAUUAUUGGGGGUAAGGCGUGGGCAGGCGUUUAUGUAAGACAGAUGUGAAAUCCCCGGGCUCAACUUGGGAACUGCAUUUGAAACUGCAUAGCUAGAGGACUGUAGAGGGGGGGGGAAUUCCGCGUGUAGCAGGAAAUGCGUAGAUAUACGGAGGAACACCGAUGCGAAGGCGGUCCCCUUGACCGGUACGAGGUUGAUGGGAAAGGCGGGGAGGAAUUUC
This 708-nucleotide ribosomal RNA is filed under the name Variovorax boronicumulans. RNAcentral's name for it is "bacterial SSU rRNA". It matches the Rfam family "Bacterial small subunit ribosomal RNA", at positions 60 to 775 of the family's 1533-position model. The record is from RNAcentral. Lineage: Bacteria; Pseudomonadati; Pseudomonadota; Betaproteobacteria; Burkholderiales; Comamonadaceae.